This 403-nucleotide ribosomal RNA is filed under the name uncultured bacterium. RNAcentral's name for it is "bacterial SSU rRNA". It matches the Rfam family "Bacterial small subunit ribosomal RNA", at positions 355 to 776 of the family's 1533-position model. The record is from RNAcentral.
UGGGGAAUAUUGCACAAUGGGCGAAAGCCUGAUGCAGCAACGCCGCGUGAGCGAUGAAGGCCUUCGGGUCGUAAAGCUCUGUCCCAAGGGAAGAUAAUGACGGUACCUUGGGAGGAAGCCCCGGCUAACUACGUGCCAGCAGCCGCGGUAAUACGUAGGGGGCAAGCGUUAUCCGGAAUCACUGGGCGUAAAGGGUGCGUAGGCGGUCUUGCAAGCCAGAGGUGAAAGGCUAUGGCUCAACCAUAGUGAGCCUUUGGAACUGCCGGACUUGAGUACAGGAGAGGAAAGUGGAAUUCCUAGUGUAGCGGUGAAAUGCGUAGAUAUUAGGAGGAACACCAGUGGCGAAGGCGACUUUCUGGACUGUUACUGACGCUGAGGCACGAAAGCGUGGGGAGCGAACAGG